Long non-coding RNA from Lytechinus pictus (painted urchin), 208 nucleotides. RefSeq lists it as uncharacterized. Lineage: Eukaryota; Metazoa; Echinodermata; Echinoidea; Temnopleuroida; Toxopneustidae. The record is from RefSeq and is a predicted model, not a curated record. The transcript has 3 exons.
AGACAACGGAUACAACGACGGUUCAGGUGUAUACUAACAUUGUUAUAGAUACUUUCAGCCUGGAGCAUCCCUCUGAAGGAGCGCCUACUGAUGCAAGUACCACUGCGGCUCCUACUACAUUGACUGAUAUAGAUACUUUCAGCCUGGAGCAUCCCUCGGAAGGAACGCCUACUGACGCAAGUACCACUGCGGCUCCUACUACAUUGAC